Molecule: transfer RNA, 75 nt
Filed under: Cordylochernes scorpioides
Lineage: Eukaryota; Metazoa; Arthropoda; Arachnida; Pseudoscorpiones; Chernetidae
Description: tRNA-Glu
Source: RNAcentral
GGAGGUUGGUGGAAGGAUGGUCUAAACUGUUGGUUUUCAACCGCUACGACCCGGGUUCGAAUCCCGCAUUUGGCA